RNAcentral lists this ribosomal RNA (772 nucleotides) under uncultured bacterium. RNAcentral describes it as "bacterial SSU rRNA". It matches the Rfam family "Bacterial small subunit ribosomal RNA", at positions 60 to 832 of the family's 1533-position model. The record is from RNAcentral.
AGUCGAAGAACACUGAAAGCAGAUUACUUCGGUAUGAAGCUUUCUUUGACUGAGUGGCGGACGGGUGAGUAACGCGUGGGUAACCUGCCUCAUACAGGGGGAUAACAGUUAGAAAUGACUGCUAAUACCGCAUAAGCGCACGGUUUCGCAUGGAACAGUGUGAAAAACUCCGGUGGUAUGGGAUGGACCCGCGUCUGAUUAGCUGGUUGGCGGGGUAACGGCCCACCAAGGCGACGAUCAGUAGCCGGCCUGAGAGGGUGAACGGCCACAUUGGGACUGAGACACGGCCCAAACUCCUACGGGAGGCAGCAGUGGGGAAUAUUGCACAAUGGGGGAAACCCUGAUGCAGCGACGCCGCGUGAAGGAAGAAGUAUUUCGGUAUGUAAAGCUCUAUCAGCAGGGAAGAGAAUGACGGUACCUGACUAAGAAGCCCCGGCUAACUACGUGCCAGCAGCCGCGGUAAUACGUAGGGGGCAAGCGUUAUCCGGAUUUACUGGGUGUAAAGGGAGCGUAGACGGCUGGCCAAGUCUGAAGUGAAAGCCCGGGGCUUAACCCCGGAACGGCUUUGGAAACUGGCCGGCUGGAGUGCUGGAGAGGCAGGCGGAAUUCCUGGUGUAGCGGUGAAAUGCGUAGAUAUCAGGAGGAACACCGGUGGCGAAGGCGGCCUGCUGGACAGUAACUGACGUUGAGGCUCGAAAGCGUGGGGAGCAAACAGGAUUAGAUACCCUGGUAGUCCACGCGGUAAACGAUGAAUGCUAGGUGUCGGGGGGCA